Long non-coding RNA from Thalassophryne amazonica, 330 nucleotides. RefSeq lists it as uncharacterized. The record is from RefSeq and is a predicted model, not a curated record. The transcript has 3 exons. NCBI's taxonomy places the organism in Eukaryota, Metazoa, Chordata, Actinopteri, Batrachoidiformes, Batrachoididae.
UAGAAGAACGCCAUUCAAAGAAAGCCACAAGAAGUCCCGUUUGCAAUUUGACAGAAGCCAUGUUGGGGACACAGCAAACAUGUGGAAGAAGGUGCUUUGGUCAGAUGAGACCAAAAUUCAACAUUUUGGCCAAAAUGCAAAACGCUAUGUGUGGCAGAAAACUAACACCGCACAUCACUCUGAAGACACCAUCCCACUACCCACACCAUACCACUGUCAAAUAUGGUGGUGGCAGCGUCAUGCCCUGGGAAGGCUUCUUUUCAGCAGGGACAAGAAAGAUGGUCAGAGUUGAUGGGAAGAUGGAUGAAGCCAAAUACAGGGCAGUCUUGG